CCGGUAAACGGCGGCCGUAACUAUAACGGUCCUAAGGUAGCGAAAUUCCUUGUCGGGUAAGUUCCGACCUGCACGAAUGGCGUAAUGAUGGCCAGGCUGUCUCCACCCGAGACUCAGUGAAAUUGAACUCGCUGUGAAGAUGCAGUGUACCCGCGGCAAGACGGAAAGACCCCGUGAACCUUUACUAUAGCUUGACACUGAACAUUGAGCCUUGAUGUGUAGGAUAGGUGGGAGGCUUUGAAGUGUGGACGCCAGUCUGCAUGGAGCCGACCUUGAAAUACCACCCUUUAAUGUUUGAUGUUCUAACGUUGGCCCGUUAUCCGGGUUGCGGACAGUGUCUGGUGGGUAGUUUGACUGGGGCGGUCUCCUCCUAAAGAGUAACGGAGGAGCACGAAGGUUGGCUAAUCCUGGUCGGACAUCAGGAGGUUAGUGCAAUGGCAUAAGCCAGCUUGACUGCGAGCGUGACGGCGCGAGCAGGUGCGAAAGCAGGUCAUAGUGAUCCGGUGGUUCUGAAUGGAAGGGCCAUCGCUCAACGGAUAAAAGGUACUCCGGGGAUAACAGGCUGAUACCGCCCAAGAGUUCAUAUCGACGGCGGUGUUUGGCACCUCGAUGUCGGCUCAUCACAUCCUGGGGCUGAAGUAGGUCCCAAGGGUAUGGCUGUUCGCCAUUUAAAGUGGUACGCGAGCUGGGUUUAGAACGUCGUGAGACAGUUCGGUCCCUAUCUGCCGUGGGCGCUGGAGAACUGAGGGGGGCUGCUCCUAGUACGAGAGGACCGGAGUGGACGCAUCACUGGUGUUCGGGUUGUCAUGCCAAUGGCACUGCCCGGUAGCUAAAUGCGGAAGAGAUAAGUGCUGAA
This 856-nucleotide ribosomal RNA is filed under the name Escherichia coli. RNAcentral's name for it is "partial 23S ribosomal RNA". It matches the Rfam family "Bacterial large subunit ribosomal RNA", at positions 1920 to 2775 of the family's 2925-position model. Lineage: Bacteria; Pseudomonadati; Pseudomonadota; Gammaproteobacteria; Enterobacterales; Enterobacteriaceae. The record is from RNAcentral.